CAUCCAGACUCCUACGGGAGGCAGCAGUAGGGAAUCUUCCACAAUGGACGAAAGUCUGAUGGAGCAACGCCGCGUGAGUGAAGAAGGGUUUCGGCUCGUAAAGCUCUGUUGGUAGGGAAGAAAGAUAGAGGGAGUAACUGGCCUUUAUUUGACGGUAAUUACUUAGAAAGUCACGGCUAACUACGUGCCAGCAGCCGCGGUAAUACGUAGGUGGCAAGCGGUGUCCGGAUUUAUUGGGCGUAAAGCGAGUGCAGGCGGUUCAAUAAGUCUGAUGUGAAAGCCUUCGGCUCAACCGGAGAAUUGCAUCAGAAACUGUUGAACUUGAGUGCAGAAGAGGAGAGUGGAACUCCAUGUGUAGCGGUGAAAUGCGUAGAUAUUAGGAGGAACACCAGUGGCGAAGGUGGCUUACUGGACUGUAACUGACGUUGAGGCUCGAAAGCGUGGGGAGCAAACAGGAUUAGAUACCCGUGUA
This 472-nucleotide ribosomal RNA is filed under the name uncultured bacterium. RNAcentral's name for it is "bacterial SSU rRNA". It matches the Rfam family "Bacterial small subunit ribosomal RNA", at positions 328 to 792 of the family's 1533-position model. The record is from RNAcentral.